CUAGAGUAGAAGGUCUCGAUCCCACAAAAAACUAGUUAACAACUAGCCGUCCAAACCAGCGGACUUUAGUCUACUUCUCCGUUUUACGGAAAAAAAACGGAGA
RNAcentral lists this transfer RNA (103 nucleotides) under Cylindrophis ruffus (red-tailed pipe snake). RNAcentral describes it as "tRNA-Asn". The record is from RNAcentral. Lineage: Eukaryota; Metazoa; Chordata; Lepidosauria; Squamata; Cylindrophiidae.